Molecule: small nucleolar RNA, 221 nt
Filed under: Clytia hemisphaerica
Lineage: Eukaryota; Metazoa; Cnidaria; Hydrozoa; Leptothecata; Clytiidae
Description: small nucleolar RNA U3
Rfam family: Small nucleolar RNA U3
About the family: Small nucleolar RNAs (snoRNAs) are involved in the processing and modification of rRNA in the nucleolus. There are two main classes of snoRNAs: the box C/D class, and the box H/ACA class.
Source: Rfam by way of RNAcentral
AAGACCGUACUUUUUAGGAUCAUUUCUAUAGUACGCGUUCUUCCUUUGCUUCACAGCAAAGCGAAACACAACAGCCUCGAUGAUGAGCUGCAAUGUUUCACUCUGAGCGGGAAGUUCGGUUUCUUGGGAGAUCUCUUUGUAGAUCACCCUCGGACCAUUGAUGACCGUUCCUAACUGGCUUUCAGUGCUGGGGAGGAGGAGUGAAACAUCAGCUGAGUGGC